GCUUGUCUCAAAGAUUAAGCCAUGCAUGUCUUAGUGUAAAUAACUCUUAUGAAACUGCGAAUGGCUCAUUAAAUCAGUUAUCGUUUAUUUGAUGGUCCCUUACUACAUGGAUAACCGUAGUAAUUCUAGAGCUAAUACAUGCACAAAGGCCCGACUCACGGAGGGCUGUAUUUAUUAGAUUCAAACCAACACUUUUUGGUGAUUCAUAAUAACUUGUCGAACCUCAUGCCUUUAUGGUGGAGGUGAUUCAUUCAAAUUUCUGCCCUAUCAAUUGGCGAUGGUAGGAUAGAGGCCUACCAUGGUGUUAACGGGUGACGGGGGAUUAGGGUUCGAUUCCGGAGAGGCAGCCUGAGAAACGGCUACCACAUCCAAGGAAGGCAGCAGG
This 385-nucleotide ribosomal RNA is filed under the name Plagioselmis nannoplanctica. Its description in RNAcentral is "partial small subunit ribosomal RNA". It matches the Rfam family "Eukaryotic small subunit ribosomal RNA", at positions 30 to 432 of the family's 1831-position model. Lineage: Eukaryota; Cryptophyceae; Cryptomonadales; Cryptomonadaceae. The record is from RNAcentral.